UACGGGGGGGGCAAGCGUUGUUCGGAAUUACUGGGCGUAAAGGGUUCGUAGGUGGCUUGCUAAGUCAGACGUGAAAUCCCUCAGCUUAACUGGGGAACUGCGUCUGAGACUGGUGAGCUUGAGUGCAGGAGAGGAACGCGGAAUUCCAGGUGUAGCGGUGAAAUGCGCAGAUAUCGGGAGGAACACCAGUAGCGAAGGCGGCUCGCUGGGCCAUUCCUGACGCUGAGACGCGAAAGCGUGGGGAGCGAACAGG
This 253-nucleotide ribosomal RNA is filed under the name uncultured bacterium. RNAcentral's name for it is "partial 16S ribosomal RNA". It matches the Rfam family "Bacterial small subunit ribosomal RNA", at positions 524 to 776 of the family's 1533-position model. The record is from RNAcentral.